CGCGCAGCUCGGGUGGCCCCGCCCAUCAGGCCCGGAGGCGGGGCCUACAGGCGGCACUGCUGCCCCCUGCAGCGGCGGCGGCGGCCACAGUGAUGAUCACAGUGCCUCUUCAGAAGAAAAAGAUUGCCCUAGCCCCAACCUAGAUACUUCAAAGGACUCUAAAUCAGG
This is a long non-coding RNA of Hipposideros armiger (great roundleaf bat), 168 nucleotides long. RefSeq lists it as uncharacterized. The transcript has 3 exons. Lineage: Eukaryota; Metazoa; Chordata; Mammalia; Chiroptera; Hipposideridae. The record is from RefSeq and is a predicted model, not a curated record.